AUACGGAGGGUGCAAGCGUUAUCCGGAUUCAUUGGGUUUAAAGGGUGCGCAGGCGGAAUGAUAAGUCAGUGGUGAAAUCCUACAGCUUAACUGUAGAACUGCCAUUGAUACUGUCAUUCUUGAGUACACUUGAAGUGGGCGGAAUGUAUCAUGUAGCGGUGAAAUGCAUAGAUAUGAUACAGAACUCCGAUAGCGAAGGCAGCUCACUAAAUUGUAACUGACGCUCAGGCACGAAAGCGUGGGGAGCAAACAGGAUUAGAAACCCCGGUAGUCC
RNAcentral lists this ribosomal RNA (274 nucleotides) under uncultured bacterium. RNAcentral's name for it is "partial 16S ribosomal RNA". It matches the Rfam family "Bacterial small subunit ribosomal RNA", at positions 523 to 796 of the family's 1533-position model. The record is from RNAcentral.